UCUGCAUAAAUAACAUUUUAAGAAAAGGCUAGUUUUACUAAUGUUAUUCAUCUUGAAAUUUAAUGAAAUACCAACCAUAUUUUUCAAAACUCAACUUUGUCUGUAUAUCAUUUCUGUCAAUUUCUUAAAUAACAUCUGUAUGCUACUAAGCAAAAAUAUACUUUGAUUUAUAUAUAAAAUGAGCUGCACCUUCUGAAAUGGAAUAUUUACAGUUAGUAUAUUAAGUCUCU
This 230-nucleotide long non-coding RNA is filed under the name Gallus gallus (chicken). Lineage: Eukaryota; Metazoa; Chordata; Aves; Galliformes; Phasianidae. The record is from RNAcentral.